UUAAAUGUGGUGUAGGUGUAGCAUAUUCAACUGGAAAUCAGAAGGUCGUAGGUUCAAACCCUGGCACUUAAA
RNAcentral lists this transfer RNA (72 nucleotides) under Musca domestica (house fly). It matches the Rfam family "tRNA". Rfam says of the family: Transfer RNA (tRNA) molecules are approximately 80 nucleotides in length. Their secondary structure includes four short double-helical elements and three loops (D, anti-codon, and T loops). The record is from Rfam by way of RNAcentral. Lineage: Eukaryota; Metazoa; Arthropoda; Insecta; Diptera; Muscidae.